Molecule: non-coding RNA, 1744 nt
Organism: Meleagris gallopavo (turkey)
Lineage: Eukaryota; Metazoa; Chordata; Aves; Galliformes; Phasianidae
Source: RefSeq, a predicted model, not a curated record
GUGGGCUUACGGUGAGUGUUGUUUGUGUCGGCAUUCCUCCUUGUAAACCGUGUCUCUCUGUAUUACAGGUGAAGAUGUCUUCCACAUUUCCAGUUGAUGAUUUCCCUGCUGGGACCGCAUCAGCUUUUCAGUCUUCCAGAAGCUCCUACCACCGUCCAAGGUCAUCACAGACAACGUGUGAUUUGUGGCACUGAGUCUCACUGUAGUUCAUUCAAUGACCUCAGCUCAGCGAUCCCAUCCACUCCCCUCCUUUGGGCCAUUCUACUGUCAGGCCAAUGAAAGCUUCUUACUGAUGCGAUUUGUGUUCUUGCCUGGCCAUUUCUAGCCUCGUGCCCCUUUGUGGCCUUUCUGAGAAUUGCAGUGAUUUCACUGUGUGCAUCCAGGUUAUUUCAAUUAAAUUGGUUUCAGUUUCGCAAUCAAUUCAUGUGAACCAAAUUGGUUUUAGCUUUGCCUUGCUUAUGGGGUUGGGUUAGCUUUGCUUUGUUUGUUUGUACCGCAGGGCUAACCCAACCCCAUAAGCAAGGCCUAAGCGCCGUUGGAGGCGAUUUGUGCUCCUUCCCGGCCAGUCUGCGAUUCGUGCCCCUUUGUGGCCGUUUGGAGAAUUGUGCUGAUUUAAGCACGCGUUUUCAAUUUAUCUAUUCAAAAUAGUCUUCAGCUUUGCAGUUACUUUGCAUUAACCAAAUUGACUUGGGCUUUGCAUUCAGUUAAUGUAAACCAAAUUGGCUUGAGCUUUGCCUUGCUUACGGGGUUGGGUUAGCUUUGCUUUGUUUGUUUGUACCGCAGGGCUAACCCAGCCCCGUAAGCAAGGCCCAAGGGCCGUUGGAGGCAAUUUGUAUUUUUUCCUGGCCAGUCUGAGACUCGUGCCCCUUUGUGGCCAUUUUCAGAAUUAUGCUGUUUUCAGCAUGUGAAUUCAAUUUAUCUCCACGAAAUUGGCUUUAGCUUUGCAUUGAAUUAAUGUAAACCAAAUUGGCUUGAGCUUUGCCUUGCUUACGGGGUUGGGUUAGCUUUGCUUUGUUUGUUUGUACCGCAGGGCUAACCCAGCCCCAUAAGCAAGGCCCAAGGGCCGUUGGAGGCGAUGUGUGCUCUUUCCCGGCCAGUCUGAGACUCGUGCCCCUUUGUGGCCAUUUUCAGAAUUGUGCUGUUUUCAGCAUGUGAAUUCAAUUUAUCUCCGACAAAUUGGCUUUAGCUUUGCAUUCAAUUAAUGUAAACCAAAUUGGUUUUAGCUUUGCCUUGCUUACGGGGUUGGGUUAGCUUUGCUUUGUUUGUUUGUACCGCAGGGCUAACCCAACCCUGUAAGUAAGGCUUGAGGGCCAUUGGAGGCGAUUUGUCUUCUUUCCGGCCACUCUGAGAGUUGCAACGAGUUGCAGCCCAAAUGAGAAUUGCAUUUUGUUUUGGACGGGCUGAGAUCUUCAUUGCUUUUGAGGUGGGUUGCAGUAUAAAAUGCUGGUGUAAUGUAAUCUUGUUCAUGGGAUAUGUAGGCCUGGUGAUAUUUUCCUGGUUUAUCUGUUACCUGUAAAAAUGUCUUGCAAGUGUAUUGAACAAGUGUAUGCUGCGCCUUUAAAUUGUAUCCUGCCAUGUAUGGAACAUGUGUAUGCUGUUCAUCAACUAAGUAUUGGAAUUGUAAUGAAUAUGAGUACCAUGUUCUGCUUGUAAAUGACUAGUUGCUGUUGUUAUAUUGUGCAUAUGCUUCUAAGAGUCGUGUCUUGUGGAAAUAAUGCUGCAAUAAAAUACUCAUGUCAUUUUA